RNAcentral lists this ribosomal RNA (759 nucleotides) under Leuconostoc holzapfelii. Its description in RNAcentral is "bacterial SSU rRNA". It matches the Rfam family "Bacterial small subunit ribosomal RNA", at positions 75 to 820 of the family's 1533-position model. Lineage: Bacteria; Bacillati; Bacillota; Bacilli; Lactobacillales; Lactobacillaceae. The record is from RNAcentral.
GGUGCUUGCACCUUUCAAGCGAGUGGCGAACGGGUGAGUAACACGUGGAUAACCUGCCUCAAGGCUGGGGAUAACAUUUGGAAACAGAUGCUAAUACCGAAUAAAACUUAGUAUCGCAUGAUACAAAGUUAAAAGGCGCUACGGCGUCACCUAGAGAUGGAUCCGCGGUGCAUUAGUUAGUUGGUGGGGUAAAGGCUUACCAAGACAAUGAUGCAUAGCCGAGUUGAGAGACUGAUCGGCCACAUUGGGACUGAGACACGGCCCAAACUCCUACGGGAGGCUGCAGUAGGGAAUCUUCCACAAUGGGCGCAAGCCUGAUGGAGCAACGCCGCGUGUGUGAUGAAGGCUUUCGGGUCGUAAAGCACUGUUGUAUGGGAAGAAAUGCUAAAAUAGGGAAUGAUUUUAGUUUGACGGUACCAUACCAGAAAGGGACGGCUAAAUACGUGCCAGCAGCCGCGGUAAUACGUAUGUCCCGAGCGUUAUCCGGAUUUAUUGGGCGUAAAGCGAGCGCAGACGGUUGAUUAAGUCUGAUGUGAAAGCCCGGAGCUCAACUCCGGAAUGGCAUUGGAAACUGGUUAACUUGAGUGUUGUAGAGGUAAGUGGAACUCCAUGUGUAGCGGUGGAAUGCGUAGAUAUAUGGAAGAACACCAGUGGCGAAGGCGGCUUACUGGACAACAACUGACGUUGAGGCUCGAAAGUGUGGGUAGCAAACAGGAUUAGAUACCCUGGUAGUCCACACCGUAAACGAUGAAUACUAGG